This 370-nucleotide long non-coding RNA is filed under the name Eucalyptus grandis. RNAcentral describes it as "long non-coding RNA (EGRA_LNC003208)". The record is from RNAcentral. Lineage: Eukaryota; Viridiplantae; Streptophyta; Magnoliopsida; Myrtales; Myrtaceae.
GGCGAGGGAGGCAGGGGCGGCACGUCGGCGGCAGGGCACCAGGGCUUCGGGAUCAGCACAGAGUUGGGUGCAAGCGUCACAGGCGAUGGAUUCGGCGGAGGCGAGGCGUCACUGGCGAAGCUCGGACGUCGGCGCUUGGAUCUGGACCGGCUACUGUCGGGGGGAAAAAUCGCCGGCUAGGGUUCCGGCGAGGGCUCUGGCGAGGAUGAAGACGCGGGCCGGCACGGGGCUUACGUCGGAUCCGGGUGUGGGCGUCGCGGAUCGGCACGGGGCAGCGUCGGAUCUGGGAGCAGGCGUCGCGGGGCUGUACGACGAGGAGCUCUGGCGUCUAGAUCUCGGUUCAGUGACUUCGCGAGCGGAGCAGGAGCGG